UUCCGGUUGAUCCUGCCGGAGGUCAUUGCUAUUGGGGUCCGAUUUAGCCAUGCUAGUUGUGCGAGUUCAGCCUCGCAGCAAAUAGCUCCGUAACACGUGGCCAAACUACCCUACGGAGGAGGAUAACCUCGGGAAAACUGAGGCUAAUACUCCCACACCGUACGCACGUUGGAAUACAGCGUACACGAAACGCUCCGGCGCCGUAGGAUGUGGCUGCGGCCGAUUAGGUAGACGAUGGGGUAACGGCCCACCGUGCCGAUAAUCGGUACGGGUUGUGAGAGCAAGAGCCCGGAGAUGGAUUCUGAGACAAGAAUCCAGGCCCUACGGGGCGCAGCAGGCGCGAAACCUUUACACUGCACGCAAGUGCGAUAAGGGGACCCCAAGUGCGAGGGCAUACAGUCCUCGCUUUUCUGUACCGUAAGGUGGUACAGGAAUAAGUGCUGGGCAAGACCGGUGCCAGCCGCCGCGGUAAUACCGGCAGCACGAGUGAUGACCGAUAUUAUUGGGCCUAAAGCGUCCGUAGCUGGCCGCGCAAGUCCGUCGGGAAAUCCACCAGCCUAACUGGUGGGCGUCCGGCGGAAACUGCACGGCUUGGGACCGGAAGACUCGAGGGGUACGUCCGGGGUAGGAGUGAAAUCCCGUAAUCCUGGACGGACCGCCGAUGGCGAAAGCACCUCGAGAAGACGGAUCCGACAGUGAGGGACGAAAGCUCGGGUCUCGAACCGGAUUAGAUACCCGGGUAGUCCGAGCCGUAAACGAUGUCUGCUAGGUGUGACUCCCACUACGAGUGGGUGUUGUGCCGUAGGGAAGCCGCUAAGCAGACCGCCUGGGAAGUACGUCCGCAAGGAUGAAACUUAAAGGAAUUGGCGGGGGAGCACUACAACCGGAGGAGCCUGCGGUUUAAUUGGACUCAACGCCGGG
This 921-nucleotide ribosomal RNA is filed under the name uncultured archaeon. RNAcentral's name for it is "bacterial SSU rRNA". It matches the Rfam family "Archaeal small subunit ribosomal RNA", at positions 1 to 922 of the family's 1478-position model. The record is from RNAcentral.